UACGAAGGGGGCUAGCGUUGCUCGGAAUCCCUGGGCGUAAAGGGUGCGUAGGCGGGUCUUUAAGGCAGGGGUGAAAUCCUGGAGCUCAACUCCAGAACUGCCUUUGAUACUGAAGAUCUUGAGUUCGGGAGAGGUGAGUGGAACUGCGAGUGUAGAGGUGAAAUUCGUAGAUAUUCGCAAGAACACCAGUGGCGAAGGCGGCUCUCUGGGACGGUACUGACGCUGAGACGCGAAAGCGUGGGGAGCGAACAGG
Molecule: ribosomal RNA, 253 nt
Filed under: uncultured bacterium
Lineage: Bacteria
Description: partial 16S ribosomal RNA
Rfam family: Bacterial small subunit ribosomal RNA
Source: RNAcentral